RNAcentral lists this ribosomal RNA (2829 nucleotides) under Escherichia coli. RNAcentral's name for it is "partial 23S ribosomal RNA". It matches the Rfam family "Bacterial large subunit ribosomal RNA". Lineage: Bacteria; Pseudomonadati; Pseudomonadota; Gammaproteobacteria; Enterobacterales; Enterobacteriaceae. The record is from RNAcentral.
GUUAAGCGACUAAGCGUACACGGUGGAUGCCCUGGCAGUCAGAGGCGAUGAAGGACGUGCUAAUCUGCGAUAAGCGUCGGUGAGGUGAUAUGAACCGUUAUAACCGGCGAUUUCCGAAUGGGGAAACCCAGUGUGUUUCGACACACUAUCAUUAACUGAAUCCAUAGGUUAAUGAGGCGAACCGGGGGAACUGAAACAUCUAAGUACCCCGAGGAAAAGAAAUCAACCGAGAUUCCCCCAGUAGCGGCGAGCGAACGGGGAGGAGCCCAGAGCCUGAAUCAGUGUGUGUGUUAGUGGAAGCGUCUGGAAAGGCGCGCGAUACAGGGUGACAGCCCCGUACACAAAAAUACACAUAUUGUGAGCUCGAUGAGUAGGGCGGGACACGUGGUAUCCUGUCUGAAUAUGGGGGGACCAUCCUCCAAGGCUAAAUACUCCUGACUGACCGAUAGUGAACCAGUACCGUGAGGGAAAGGCGAAAAGAACCCCGGCGAGGGGAGUGAAAAAGAACCUGAAACCGUGUACGUACAAGCAGUGGGAGCCUCUUUAUGGGGUGACUGCGUACCUUUUGUAUAAUGGGUCAGCGACUUAUAUUCUGUAGCAAGGUUAACCGAAUAGGGGAGCCGAAGGGAAACCGAGUCUUAACUGGGCGUUAAGUUGCAGGGUAUAGACCCGAAACCCGGUGAUCUAGCCAUGGGCAGGUUGAAGGUUGGGUAACACUAACUGGAGGACCGAACCGACUAAUGUUGAAAAAUUAGCGGAUGACUUGUGGCUGGGGGUGAAAGGCCAAUCAAACCGGGAGAUAGCUGGUUCUCCCCGAAAGCUAUUUAGGUAGCGCCUCGUGAAUUCAUCUCCGGGGGUAGAGCACUGUUUCGGCAAGGGGGUCAUCCCGACUUACCAACCCGAUGCAAACUGCGAAUACCGGAGAAUGUUAUCACGGGAGACACACGGCGGGUGCUAACGUCCGUCGUGAAGAGGGAAACAACCCAGACCGCCAGCUAAGGUCCCAAAGUCAUGGUUAAGUGGGAAACGAUGUGGGAAGGCCCAGACAGCCAGGAUGUUGGCUUAGAAGCAGCCAUCAUUUAAAGAAAGCGUAAUAGCUCACUGGUCGAGUCGGCCUGCGCGGAAGAUGUAACGGGGCUAAACCAUGCACCGAAGCUGCGGCAGCGACACUAUGUGUUGUUGGGUAGGGGAGCGUUCUGUAAGCCUGUGAAGGUGGCCUGUGAGGGUUGCUGGAGGUAUCAGAAGUGCGAAUGCUGACAUAAGUAACGAUAAAGCGGGUGAAAAGCCCGCUCGCCGGAAGACCAAGGGUUCCUGUCCAACGUUAAUCGGGGCAGGGUGAGUCGACCCCUAAGGCGAGGCCGAAAGGCGUAGUCGAUGGGAAACAGGUUAAUAUUCCUGUACUUGGUGUUACUGCGAAGGGGGGACGGAGAAGGCUAUGUUGGCCGGGCGACGGUUGUCCCGGUUUAAGCGUGUAGGCUGGUUUUCCAGGCAAAUCCGGAAAACCAAGGCUGAGGCGUGAUGACGAGGCACUACGGUGCUGAAGCGACAAAUGCCCUGCUUCCAGGAAAAGCCUCUAAGCAUCAGGUAACAUCAAAUCGUACCCCAAACCGACACAGGUGGUCAGGUAGAGAAUACCAAGGCGCUUGAGAGAACUCGGGUGAAGGAACUAGGCAAAAUGGUGCCGUAACUUCGGGAGAAGGCACGCUGAUAUGUAGGUGAAGCGACUUGCUCGUGGAGCUGAAAUCAGUCGAAGAUACCAGCUGGCUGCAACUGUUUAUUAAAAACACAGCACUGUGCAAACACGAAAGUGGACGUAUACGGUGUGACGCCUGCCCGGUGCCGGAAGGUUAAUUGAUGGGGUUAGCGGUAACGCGAAGCUCUUGAUCGAAGCCCCGGUAAACGGCGGCCGUAACUAUAACGGUCCUAAGGUAGCGAAAUUCCUUGUCGGGUAAGUUCCGACCUGCACGAAUGGCGUAAUGAUGGCCAGGCUGUCUCCACCCGAGACUCAGUGAAAUUGAACUCGCUGUGAAGAUGCAGUGUACCCGCGGCAAGACGGAAAGACCCCGUGAACCUUUACUAUAGCUUGACACUGAACAUUGAGCCUUGAUGUGUAGGAUAGGUGGGAGGCUUUGAAGUGUGGACGCCAGUCUGCAUGGAGCCGACCUUGAAAUACCACCCUUUAAUGUUUGAUGUUCUAACGUUGGCCCGUAAUCCGGGUUGCGGACAGUGUCUGGUGGGUAGUUUGACUGGGGCGGUCUCCUCCUAAAGAGUAACGGAGGAGCACGAAGGUUGGCUAAUCCUGGUCGGACAUCAGGAGGUUAGUGCAAUGGCAUAAGCCAGCUUGACUGCGAGCGUGACGGCGCGAGCAGGUGCGAAAGCAGGUCAUAGUGAUCCGGUGGUUCUGAAUGGAAGGGCCAUCGCUCAACGGAUAAAAGGUACUCCGGGGAUAACAGGCUGAUACCGCCCAAGAGUUCAUAUCGACGGCGGUGUUUGGCACCUCGAUGUCGGCUCAUCACAUCCUGGGGCUGAAGUAGGUCCCAAGGGUAUGGCUGUUCGCCAUUUAAAGUGGUACGCGAGCUGGGUUUAGAACGUCGUGAGACAGUUCGGUCCCUAUCUGCCGUGGGCGCUGGAGAACUGAGGGGGGCUGCUCCUAGUACGAGAGGACCGGAGUGGACGCAUCACUGGUGUUCGGGUUGUCAUGCCAAUGGCACUGCCCGGUAGCUAAAUGCGGAAGAGAUAAGUGCUGAAAGCAUCUAAGCACGAAACUUGCCCCGAGAUGAGUUCUCCCUGACUCCUUGAGAGUCCUGAAGGAACGUUGAAGACGACGAC